AGCGGCGAACGGGUGAGUAACACGUGGGUGACCUGCCCUCCACUUCGGGAUAAGCCCGGGAAACUGGGUCUAAUACCGGAUAGGACAUCUUGGUGCAUGCUGGGGUGUGGAAAGUUUUUUCGGUGGGGGAUGGGCCCGCGGUCUAUCAGCUUGUUGGUGGGGUGAUGGCCUACCAAGGCGACGACGGAUAGCCGGCCUGAGAGGGUGAUCGGCCACACUGGGACUGAGACACGGCCCAGACUCCUACGGGAGGCAGCAGUGGGGAAUCUUGCGCAAUGGGCGGAAGCCUGACGCAGCAACGCCGCGUGAGGGAUGACGGCCUUCGGGUUGUAAACCUCUUUCGCGAUCGACGAAGGUUCAUCUUUUGGGUGGGCUGACGGUAGGUCGAGAAGAAGCACCGGCCAACUACGUGCCAGCAGCCGCGGUAAUACGUAGGGUGCGAGCGUUGUCCGGAAUUAUUGGGCGUAAAGAGCUCGUAGGCGGUGUGUCACGUCGGCCGUGAAAACCUGGGGCUCAACUCUGGGCGUGCGGUCGAUACGGGCAUCACUAGAGUUCGGCAGGGGAGACUGGAAUUCCUGGUGUAGCGGUGAAAUGCGCAGAUAUCAGGAGGAACACCGGUGGCGAAGGCGGGUCUCUGGGCC
This 641-nucleotide ribosomal RNA is filed under the name Actinomycetospora sp. I12A-02668. RNAcentral's name for it is "bacterial SSU rRNA". It matches the Rfam family "Bacterial small subunit ribosomal RNA", at positions 94 to 735 of the family's 1533-position model. The record is from RNAcentral. Lineage: Bacteria; Bacillati; Actinomycetota; Actinomycetes; Pseudonocardiales; Pseudonocardiaceae.